CAACGUGGGUAACCUGCCCAAGAGAUCGGGAUAACACCUGGAAACAGAUGCUAAUACCGGAUAACAACAGAUGAUGCCUAUCAACUGUUUAAAAGAUGGUUCUGCUAUCACUCUUGGAUGGACCUGCGGUGCAUUAGCUAGUUGGUAGGGUAACGGCCUACCAAGGCGACGAUGCAUAGCCGAGUUGAGAGACUGAUCGGCCACAUUGGGACUGAGACACGGCCCAAACUCCUACGGGAGGCAGCAGGU
This 249-nucleotide ribosomal RNA is filed under the name uncultured Lactobacillus sp. RNAcentral's name for it is "partial 16S ribosomal RNA". It matches the Rfam family "Bacterial small subunit ribosomal RNA", at positions 113 to 354 of the family's 1533-position model. The record is from RNAcentral. Lineage: Bacteria; Bacillati; Bacillota; Bacilli; Lactobacillales; Lactobacillaceae.